AGGACGAACGCUGGCGGCGUGCUUAACACAUGCAAGUCGAGCGGAAAGGCCCUUCGGGGUACUCGAGCGGCGAACGGGUGAGUAACACGUGAGUAAUCUGCCUUCAGCUCUGGGAUAGCUCCGGGAAACCGGGAUUAAUACCGGAUAUGACCACUUCGGACAUCUGUUGUGGUGGAAAGUUUUUCGGCUGGAGAUGAGCUCGCGGCCUAUCAGCUUGUUGGUGGGUAACGGCCUACCAAGGCGACGACGGGUAGCCGGCCUGAGAGGGCGACCGGCCACACUGGGACUGAGACACGGCCCAGACUCCUACGGGAGGCAGCAGUGGGGAAUAUUGCGCAAUGGGCGGAAGCCUGACGCAGCGACGCCGCGUGGGGGAUGAAGGCCUUCGGGUUGUAAACCCCUUUCAGCAGGGACGAAGCGGAAGUGACGGUACCUGCAGAAGAAGCGCCGGCUAACUACGUGCCAGCAGCCGC
RNAcentral lists this ribosomal RNA (473 nucleotides) under uncultured bacterium. RNAcentral describes it as "SSU rRNA". It matches the Rfam family "Bacterial small subunit ribosomal RNA", at positions 26 to 518 of the family's 1533-position model. The record is from RNAcentral.